RNAcentral lists this ribosomal RNA (252 nucleotides) under Borreliella garinii. The record is from RNAcentral. Lineage: Bacteria; Pseudomonadati; Spirochaetota; Spirochaetia; Spirochaetales; Borreliaceae.
UCGACCUUCUUCGCCUUAAAGCUCCUAGGCAUUCACCAUAGACUCUUAUUACUUUGACCAUAUUUUUAUCUUCCAUCUCUAUUUUGCCAAUUUGUUUAUGCAACAUAGAAUAAUAUAUAUCUUUGUUUAAUCCAUGUCAAUAUAUAUUUUAUUUUUUAUAUUAUUUAAAUAAAACAUUCAAAAACAUGAACAUCUAAAAACAWAAAAAAWAAAAWMAAUGUUUAAAGUAUAAAAUAAAAACSGYGKUKCAAU